GACCCCGUAGCUCAGCCGGAUAGAGCACCAGAUUCCUAAUCUGGGGGCCGCGUGUUCGAAUCACGCCGGGGUCACCA
This 77-nucleotide transfer RNA is filed under the name Pseudomonadota bacterium. RNAcentral describes it as "tRNA-Arg". It matches the Rfam family "tRNA". Rfam says of the family: Transfer RNA (tRNA) molecules are approximately 80 nucleotides in length. Their secondary structure includes four short double-helical elements and three loops (D, anti-codon, and T loops). RNAcentral also lists the same sequence under 3 other names. The record is from RNAcentral. Lineage: Bacteria; Pseudomonadati; Pseudomonadota.